UGCGUUGUUGGGUAGGGGAGCGUUCUGUAAGCCUGCGAAGGUGUGCUGUGAGGCAUGCUGGAGGUAUCAGAAGUGCGAAUGCUGAUAUAAGUAACGAUAAAGCGGGUGAAAAGCCCGCUCGCCGGAAGACCAAGGGUUCCUGUCCAACGUUAAUCGGGGCAGGGUGAGUCGACCCCUAAGGCGAGGCCGAAAGGCGUAGUCGAUGGGAAACAGGUUAAUAUUCCUGUACUUGGUGUUACUGCGAAGGGGGGACGGAGAAGGCUAUGUUGGCCGGGCGACGGUUGUCCCGGUUUAAGCGUGUAGGCUGGUUUUCCAGGCAAAUCCGGAAAAUCAAGGCUGAGGCGUGAUGACGAGGCACUACGGUGCUGAAGCAACAAAUGCCCUGCUUCCAGGAAAAGCCUCUAAGCAUCAGGUAACAUCAAAUCGUACCCCAAACCGACACAGGUGGUCAGGUAGAGAAUACCAAGGCGCUUGAGAGAACUCGGGUGAAGGAACUAGGCAAAAUGGUGCCGUAACUUCGGGAGAAGG
RNAcentral lists this ribosomal RNA (528 nucleotides) under Escherichia coli. Its description in RNAcentral is "partial 23S ribosomal RNA". It matches the Rfam family "Bacterial large subunit ribosomal RNA", at positions 1217 to 1746 of the family's 2925-position model. The record is from RNAcentral. Lineage: Bacteria; Pseudomonadati; Pseudomonadota; Gammaproteobacteria; Enterobacterales; Enterobacteriaceae.